Molecule: long non-coding RNA, 610 nt
Filed under: Selaginella moellendorffii
Lineage: Eukaryota; Viridiplantae; Streptophyta; Lycopodiopsida; Selaginellales; Selaginellaceae
Description: long non-coding RNA (SMOE_LNC002235)
Source: RNAcentral
UUCCACUCUGCCCAUUGAUCGGAGCUCCAGGUAGGCCGCUUCGCCUCUCUCCCCUCACCGAGACGUCGCCCUACUGGGCGCCACAGCGGCAGCUCGUGAACAACGGCUACCCUCGCAAGGUAAGUUCGUUUAGGUAGGGCUUUUCUUUGCGUUAGGAGUAAGACAGAUUUGGAAAGCGAAGCUGCUUGCAACGAGCUAAGAGGUAUGCUAGAGGCGAUCAAGAAAUCGUGUUGAAACUCGCAACGCUUGAAGGAACUCUCAACGCGAAGGGACACUCACCGACGUGGACAACGCUGUUUGAGUACGAACAAAACUAACGACCAACGAUACUUGGUUUUACGUUGCCAGGUUCGCGUGUGUUUCGAUUUGUUCUAAUUUCUUGUCAUUGAGAAGCCAAGUGACAUGCUGGUGCUGCCCAACGACAAUAGGAACUGAAAAACGCCAUGUCACAGCGUGUGCCAAGAAGAAAACUGCUACUAGAUUGGAGAGAUUUUGUGUCAACGUUUUGGAGAGAUUGUCAGCGCUUUGAGUUGUGUUGUUGCUGCGUUCAACGCAAGACCUGCGAGCUGAGAAACAACGGCGAUCUCAGAACUUCAAUCCAGCUGAAAAU